This is a long non-coding RNA of Malurus melanocephalus (red-backed fairy wren), 166 nucleotides long. RefSeq lists it as uncharacterized. NCBI's taxonomy places the organism in Eukaryota, Metazoa, Chordata, Aves, Passeriformes, Maluridae. The record is from RefSeq and is a predicted model, not a curated record. The transcript is spliced from 3 exons.
GGUCAGGACGGAGCCAAAGGAGAGCGAGGGGAGGACGGAGAACCCGGAGAGGCCGGAUCUCCGGGACCGACGGGGGAGAGCGGCCCCCCCGGAGCCCUCGGGAAACGGGGUCUGGCCGGGUCCCGCGGCCCCGAGGGGCGCCAGGGAGAGAAAGGAGCCAAAGUGG